AUAGCGUGGGAAGGUUAACUAGGCAUAGUCAACUUUGCCUACUCUUCAUUUACCUUUUGGAAGAAAUCUCAGGCUUCCUCACAACCAAAGAACCUCUGUCUGACCCAACUCUCAGCCCCUGCUCUGGCCAAUCCUGACAAGGAAGAUGCUCAGCCAGGAUGCAGGCUCAGCACUUUGAGACUGGUGGAUGUACUUAGAAACCUUCAUCUAACCAGUGAGCUCUGCCCUUACCAGCUGCCCUUUAUUCACUGUUCCUAGGCCCAUAACUACUGAUUUGCUGUUGCACUGCAGAAUAUUCUAGGACAUUCAGAUUUACAUACAUUUUUCUUCUGUCCUUUCUUGACAGGGUUUCUCUGUGUAGCCCUGGCUGGCCUCGAACUCAGAAUGGCCUCCUGCCUCUGGAGAUGAAGGCAUCCACCAUUCCCAUUUUUCUGUUUUUUGUUUUUUAAUGAGUGUGCUUUGUGUAUGGGGAAUGCACAUGAACAAGGACCCCAGAAGACAGCCUCAUCCCCAGGAACACCAUCUCCUUCCUUUGAGGGAGGGUCUCUCAUUGACCUCACCGACUGGGCUAGGCACCGAGCCCACGGGUUCUCUCAUCUCUGCCUCCCAGGCAGGUACUGGGGAUUUCAAGCAGACCACAU
RNAcentral lists this long non-coding RNA (641 nucleotides) under Mus caroli (Ryukyu mouse). RNAcentral's name for it is "predicted gene 29561 (MGP_CAROLIEiJ_G0005698.1)". The record is from RNAcentral. Lineage: Eukaryota; Metazoa; Chordata; Mammalia; Rodentia; Muridae.